ACUCAAAUGAAUUGACGGGGACUUGCACAAGUAGUGGAUUAUGUGGUUUAAUUCGAUGGCAAACGAAGAACCUUACCAAGGUUAGAAAUCCUAACGAAUCUCAGAGGAAACUUUGAGAGUCUCACAAGGACGGUAGGACAGGUGCUGCAUGGCCGUCGUCAGUUCGUGGUUUGAAUUGUUCCCUUAAGUGGGGUAACGAACGCAACCCUCGUUGCCAGUUACAAGUGUCUGGCGAGACUGCCCAGCUUUAAGUUUUUGAAAAUUCGAAAAUUUAAAGCUGGGAGGAAGGCGAGGAUGACGCUAGGUCAGCAUGGCCCUUUGAUAUCUUGGGCUACACACAUAAUACAAUGCCCGUUACAACGCGACGCAAUACCGUAAGGUGGAGCAAAUCGUAAGAAAAGCGGGCUAAGUUCGGAUUGAGGUCUGCAACUCGACCUCAUGAAGCUGGAAUUACUAGUAAUCGCGGGUCAGCUAUACCGCGGUGAAUACGUUCUCAAGUCUUGUACACACCGCCCGU
Molecule: ribosomal RNA, 517 nt
Filed under: uncultured bacterium
Lineage: Bacteria
Description: partial 16S ribosomal RNA
Rfam family: Bacterial small subunit ribosomal RNA
Source: RNAcentral